AUUGAACGCUGGCGGCAGGCCUAACACAUGCAAGUCGAGCGGUAGCACAAGAGAGCUUGCUCUCUGGGUGACGAGCGGCGGACGGGUGAGUAAUGUCUGGGAAACUGCCUGAUGGAGGGGGAUAACUACUGGAAACGGUAGCUAAUACCGCAUAACGUCGCAAGACCAAAGAGGGGGACCUUCGGGCCUCUUGCCAUCAGAUGUGCCCAGAUGGGAUUAGCUAGUAGGUGGGGUAAUGGCUCACCUAGGCGACGAUCCCUAGCUGGUCUGAGAGGAUGACCAGCCACACUGGAACUGAGACACGGUCCAGACUCCUACGGGAGGCAGCAGUGGGGAAUAUUGCACAAUGGGCGCAAGCCUGAUGCAGCCAUGCCGCGUGUGUGAAGAAGGCCUUCGGGUUGUAAAGCGCUUUCAGCGAGGAGGAAGGCGGUGAGGUUAAUAACCUCAUCGAUUGACGUUACUCGCAGAAGAAGCACCGGCUAACUCCGUGCCAGCCGCCGCCGUAA
This 506-nucleotide ribosomal RNA is filed under the name uncultured bacterium. RNAcentral describes it as "partial 16S ribosomal RNA". It matches the Rfam family "Bacterial small subunit ribosomal RNA", at positions 30 to 523 of the family's 1533-position model. The record is from RNAcentral.